Molecule: long non-coding RNA, 729 nt
Organism: Limulus polyphemus (Atlantic horseshoe crab)
Lineage: Eukaryota; Metazoa; Arthropoda; Merostomata; Xiphosura; Limulidae
Exons: 3
Source: RefSeq, a predicted model, not a curated record
UCGUAGCGUCACGUGCGUACAUGAGUAGAGUACCUGGUGAAUGUUAUUAAUAUCGAACUGGAUCCGCCAGAACAGGUAGAUUUUGUAGGUCCAGGAUAAUACACAGACACUGUGAAAAACAAACUUAUAAGUAUAUCAUUACACACUGUUCCACUAUGGAUUCAACACAGUUCGGUGAACAACGAGGAAGGAAACUCUCGCCCCGACAAGAAAUUCAGACGUGAACAUUACAAGGUUAGCGAGUGUACGUGCAUUGUACCCUAUCAAUAGAAGUGCAUCUUCUGAGAUUAUAAGCCCACAGGAACGAUGAAGUCUCCUACAAGUGCUUGGAUGAGGUCACCGACAGUAAGCGUACUUCUGUAUGUGGUAGUAAUGAUGUCACAGACCAUAAGCCUACUUCUGAAUGUGGUAGUAAUGACGUCACGGACCAUAAGCCUACAUUUGCCUGUGGUAGUUAUGACGUUAUUCGUCGAAGAUACCACCGGAUAUGGGUUAUAUACUUCAGACUACCAUGUGGCGCUCUCUGGUGAUCUAGUGGUAACCUAUAAACUACCAUCUAAUGUCAACGACGGUGUCUUUGUUCAGCUUAUGGAAGAGGUAAAGAACGUACCAACAGAAGUGGCUACACAACCAGUUCCUCCACAGUCUUCUUUUGGAAAAGUAAACUUCUUCUGCGGACUCGUGGACCAUCCUGGAGACUUUUUCUUCCGUCUCGUCACAAAAGAUAAG